GACGAACGCUGGCGGCGCGCUUAACACAUGCAAGUCGAACGGAAAGGCCCUGCUUUUGUGGGGUGCUCGAGUGGCGAACGGGUGAGUAACACGUGAGUAACCUGCCCUUGACUUUGGGAUAACUUCAGGAAACUGGGGCUAAUACCGGAUAGGAGCUCCUGCUGCAUGGUGGGGGUUGGAAAGUUUCGGCGGUUGGGGAUGGACUCGCGGCUUAUCAGCUUGUUGGUGGGGUAGUGGCUUACCAAGGCUUUGACGGGUAGCCGGCCUGGGAGGGUGACCGGCCACAUUGGGACUGAGAUACGGCCCAGACUCCUACGGGAGGCAGCAGUGGGGAAUAUUGCACAAUGGGCGGAAGCCUGAUGCAGCAACGCCGCGUGCGGGAUGACGGCCUUCGGGUUGUAAACCGCUUUCGCCUGUGACGAAGCGUGAGUGACGGUAAUGGGUAAAGAAGCACCGGCUAACUACGUG
This 468-nucleotide ribosomal RNA is filed under the name uncultured bacterium. RNAcentral's name for it is "partial 16S ribosomal RNA". It matches the Rfam family "Bacterial small subunit ribosomal RNA", at positions 28 to 507 of the family's 1533-position model. The record is from RNAcentral.